Molecule: ribosomal RNA, 253 nt
Filed under: uncultured bacterium
Lineage: Bacteria
Description: partial 16S ribosomal RNA
Rfam family: Bacterial small subunit ribosomal RNA
Source: RNAcentral
UACAGAGGGUGCAAGCGUUGUUCGGAAUUAUUGGGCGUAAAGCGCGUGUAGGCGGCUUUGCAAGUCGGGUGUGAAAUCCCUCGGCUCAACCAAGGAAGUGCAUCCGAAACUGCAGAGCUUGAGUACCAAAGAGGAUCGCGGAAUUCCCGGUGUAGAGGUGAAAUUCGUAGAUAUCGGGAGGAACACCAGUGGCGAAGGCGGCGAUCUGGGUGGAUACUGACGCUGAGGUGCGAAAGCGUGGGGAGCAAACAGG